This 798-nucleotide ribosomal RNA is filed under the name Triticum aestivum (bread wheat). Its description in RNAcentral is "partial small subunit ribosomal RNA". Lineage: Eukaryota; Viridiplantae; Streptophyta; Magnoliopsida; Poales; Poaceae. The record is from RNAcentral.
AUGGGGAGCAAGGUUUCUUUGAGAGAAAAGGCCGUGAUGUUGCCGUGUGGUGUGGAGCCCAGAGAAGCCCGGUCCAAUAACCCAACCGAUAGCCCAGCCUAUAAACACGCAACCCUCAGUCCCCACCCCUCCUCUCUCCCCAAACCCUCGCCCCUCCCCUCCUCCUCCCCGCCGCCGCCGCCGCCGCCACCUCCUCUCCCCUCGCCCCAACCCCCAUCACCGGCGAAGAUGAAGACGAUCCUGGCGUCGGAGACGAUGGAGAUCCCGGAGGAGGUGACCGUCAAGGUGUCCGCGAAGAUGAUCUCGGUGACGGGGCCGCGGGGCACGCUGACCCGCAACUUCAAGCACCUCAACCUCGACUUCCAGCUGCAGGAGGGCGGGCGCAAGCUCAAGGUGGACGCCUGGUUCGGCACCCGCAAGACCAUGGCCGCCAUCCGCACCGCCAUCUCCCACGUCCAGAACCUCAUCACCGGCGUCACCAAGGGCUUCCGCUACAAGAUGCGGUUCGUGUACGCCCACUUCCCCAUCAACGCCUCCAUCACCGCCGCCAACCGCGGCAUCGAGAUCAGGAACUUCCUCGGCGAGAAGAAGGUGAGGAAGGUGGACAUGCUCGACGGGGUCACCAUCUUGCGGUCCGAGAAGGUCAAGGAUGAGAUCGUCCUCGACGGCAACGACAUCGAGCUCGUCUCCCGCUCCGCCGCCCUCAUCAACCAGAAAUGCCACGUCAAGAACAAGGAUAUCAGGAAGUUCUUGGACGGUAUCUACGUCAGCGACAAGGGCGCCAUCAAGGAGGAGUAG